UGGGGAAUAUUGGACAAUGGGGGCAACCCUGAUCCAGCAAUGCCGCGUGUGUGAAGAAGGCCUUCGGGUUGUAAAGCACUUUAGGCUGGGAAGAAGGUGAGUAGUUUAAGAGACAAUUCAUUUGACGGUACCGGCAGAAUAAGCACCGGCUAACUCUGUGCCAGCAGCCGCGGUAAUACAGAGGGUGCGAGCGUUAAUCGGAAUUACUGGGCGUAAAGGGCGCGUAGGUGGUUAUAUAAGAUUGUUGUGAAAUCCCUGGGCUUAACCUAGGAACUGCAACGAUGACUGUAUAGCUUGAGUAUUGUAGAGGGUAGUGGAAUUUCCGGUGUAGCGGUGAAAUGCGUAGAGAUCGGAAGGAACACCAGUGGCGAAGGCGGCUACCUGGACAAAUACUGACACUGAGGCGCGAGAGCGUGGGGAGCAAACA
Molecule: ribosomal RNA, 427 nt
Filed under: uncultured bacterium
Lineage: Bacteria
Description: bacterial SSU rRNA
Rfam family: Bacterial small subunit ribosomal RNA
Source: RNAcentral